UUUCUUGUGCACACGAAUAUAUAUAUAAAGUAUAAACCACAGUAAAGGAGCCAUGAUUGUACGAAUCGUUAACUGAAAAUUGUGGGCUGCUUGGUGGCAAAACCAGGCGCCCAUGGACACCCAAAAAAAGCUCUUUUAAUGCGCUGGGUCUUUCCGCGUCUCUCUUUGUAGCCCUGGCUUUCCUCUUUGCCUCGUCCUCCUAUCUUUUUCCUUCCCUGAUCACCGCCGCUGGAAUGGAGGCUUCGGUCCUUCGAAUCCCGACUCCGAUCGGCCGUCGCAACUCUCUGUCUCCAACCAAGAUAACUUUUUUGGUUCCAGUCCAUAUGAUGGAAUAAUCGGAAAGGUUGCAUCUUGUGUUUCUCUAACGGGAAUUUCCCUCCCGAAGACUACGGUUUUGAAACUUUUAGUCCCUUAGCUUUUAAUGUUUCUUUUCUGAUAUUCCUGGAAGCACAUGAAGGUGAUUUGGUCGAAAUUAACUAUGUGCAGAGGUAAAAAUUAAUUGUUCUAUAAAGCAGAUUUAUUAGAUCUAUCUAUCUGCAUCAACAUUCUCAUAAUAGUGUUAUGAUACAUGCAUAGAUCCCAAAAUUGAAGUUGAUGCUUUUAUGUUGAUGGCAUUUGCUAUUUGUUAUGUUGAAUGAAUGAUACAAAUGAAGGGCUGGUUGGUGGGAGUCUGGUGAGGAGAACAUGGUGGCGGAAGGGAGCAGGAGAUCAGAGAGGCUAGUCAAUCCCUUAGACCCAAGAUUUUCAAAAAUCUCCCUUUUUUGUUGUAUUUUUCUAGUGCAGUCCCCACCCAGCCAGCCACUCCACCCGCCUCCCCCAUUCCACCCCCUGCAACCAAAGAAAAAAAUAAAAAAAAAACACGCAUGCAUGCGUGCACACACAAAAACACCUUCAAAGACAUAGGAGUUUUGAUUGUGGGAUUAUGAACACCAGAGGAGGGAAAGAAACCUAAUAGAAUUAUAAUUGUAUUCACUGCUUAUAAUAUCAGUUUGCAAAUCAGUAACAUUUAUUUGAUCCUAUGCUCUAUGUGAAUUCAAAUAUAGCACAGUGCACCAAUUCAAAUAUUUGUUGUAGCUUGUUUCUUGCUACAUGCUUUUCAAUCUAGAUUCUUUCUGCUUCUCUAAAAUAUUGAUUUGGUCCACCUUGUUUGACAGAUCAUAAGGGCUUGAAAGAUGCUUCAGUGGCAUGAUGGUUGGAGGUAGAUUCUUGAUCUUGAAGAUUUUAAUGGCAAGAGGAGACAUUUGAUAACUCCUGAUGUUGGGUAUGUUAAUGAGCAAUUUUUUAUAUCCUAGUUGGUAGGAGGUGUCUUAGCCAUCUCAUCCCAUUCCCACGAGAACAUGGGACCAGGAUGGAGAUGGGAUUUUGAAACCCAUUCAUGUAGGAAAAGAAGAAGAAAGAGGAAAUAAAGGAAGGAAAGAAGAAGAAAAGGAAAAAUGAACGGAAGGAAAGAAGAAAAAGGAAAGAAAGAAAGGAAGGAAAAAGGAAAGAAGGGAAGGAAAGAAGAAAGGAAAGAAAGAAGAAAAAGGAAAGAAAGAAAGGAGGAAAGAGAGAAGAAAAAGAAAGGAAGGAAAAAAGGAAGAAGGGAAAGAAAGAAGAAGAGAAAGGAAAGAAAAAGGAAGGAGAAGAAGAAAAAAAAGAACAAGAAAAGAAGUAAAAAAGAAAAACAAACAAAGAAAGAAAGAAAGAAAUAAAGAAAAGAAGAAAAGGAGAAAAACCGAGGUAACCUGUCAGGAUGCUCCACAAGAUAGUCGCUAGGAUAGGGCAGACCAAUAGGGUAUUCUAUUUCGGGGAAAAACUAGAAUACCCCCAUUCCACGGAAUUUAAAACUUUGUUAAUGAGAACUUGAAACCAAUCUCUCAUGAGGUACAACUUUUAAACCAAUCCUUGAUGAUGCACAUUUUUAUUAUUUUUUUAUUUUUAUUUUGUCAUAGCUAUUAGAGUAGCUUCCAAUUGUGAUGUUGUAAGAACUGAGAACUUCUAUAGCCAUCCCUUUCCUUGGGUUAGAUACAAACCAUCCUAAAUUACAUGGCUAAAAGGAACAAUCAAGUCAUUCUCAGUCACAAGGUUUCAAAUUCCGUGGGAUGGCAGUAUCCUGGUUUCUCUACCAAAUGGGAUGCCUUGCAUUUUGCCCCUUCUCGGUGGCUAUCCCGAUUGAGUGUCCCGUUAGAUACUCUCCAUUUCUUUCCCCUUACUCUUUCCUUUGUAUCUUUAUUUCUUUUUUUGUUUCUUUUCCUUCUUUUCUUCUUCUUUCUUCUGCUUUUUAUUUUCUUUUUCAUCUUCUUUCUUUCACUUCUUCUUUCUUUCCUUCUUCCUUUCUUUUGUCUCCCUUUCUUCCUUUAUUUCUUUCUUUUCCUUUUCUUCUUUUUUCUUUCCUUCUUCCUUCUUUUGUUUUUCUUCUCCUUUCUUUUCUUUCUUUUUCUCCUCCUCCCUUUCCAUCUUUUUCUCAUUUCUUGUUCUUUCAUUUCUUUCUUUAUUUUCUCUUUCUUCUUCUUUCUCCGUGUGGAUGGGUUUUGGAGUCCUGUCCUUAUCUCGGUCUUGUCUCAUAGGAAUGGUAUAGGAUAGCUCGGACACUCCUUGUUAUUUACUGUUUGGUCCACGGGGAAACCUUCUCUCUCAUGCCAACGAGCCAUUUUUUCCUGGAAGUUCAGCUCUGGGAAGUGCUAUAAUCUUCUUGAAAAUUAUCAGAUUCUCAAGCAUGUGCCAAGCUCUUCCAGUGCCAGGCAUUUUCAAGAAAAUUGUAUAGAUUCUUUUUUGAUCUGAAAAAUUGUCUAAAUAUCAUCAAUUUUGAUUCUUUUCUUAUUAAUAUGUUGUUCUAUAUGUUCAUAACGUGCGUUUAGUAUUAUUUCAAAUUCCAACUGCAAACUCAUUUUGUCCAUAUUUAUUCAGUUGUAUAGACAAAUGGUAACUUGGAGGAAGAAAGGUAGUCUCUUCUUCGUCGGUUCUCUCUCUCUUCUUCUUCUUCUUCCUUUUUUGCAUGAUAGGGCUCUGGCCUACCUGUGCUAAGCAUGGCAGAAGGCCCUUUUAAACUGUGGAAGGCGUAAAGCCUCGCUCUGCUAAUGAGAAGGCUUUCACCGAGUAAAUUCUUGUAAGAAAUUUAACGGAGGGUCCGUGGAAUAGAUUCAUUUCAGCUGUAGGCCUAUGGUGUCACCUCUCUCACAGGCGGGAAUGUACCACGCCCAGAUUCCUGUGCAUGGCUUUCUAGAAAUUCCAAACAUGGGUAUCAUGCUGCGGAUUUGCCUGGGAGUUGGUUCAUGCAUGCAUGCAUGCACUGGAUUAGUGGCUAGUUUGGCUUGAAGGAGCAUGGGAAUAGUGCAGCCUAACAUGGCUAAUAUGCAAUAAUGUAAUAGGGGAUAUCUGUAAGCAGAAUGGGGACCAAAAAGAACUCACCGGAUAAGUUCUAGGGGUACUUCUUUAACAUUUUCAUUUUCUAUCAAAAAUUAGGUAGCACUUUUUUUAACGGAGAAAGAAGAAUAAGAUAUUUAUUCACAAUAAU
Non-coding RNA from Phoenix dactylifera (date palm), 3493 nucleotides. Lineage: Eukaryota; Viridiplantae; Streptophyta; Magnoliopsida; Arecales; Arecaceae. The record is from RefSeq and is a predicted model, not a curated record.